UUUCCGUAGGUGAACCUGCGGAAGGAUCAUUAAUGUAUAAUGGAGGUGCGAGGGCCGUGGCUUACAAGAAAGUUUGUGCACGCAAGAAAUCUCUCGCACACAUCAAUCCCGCCCCUAUUUGCACCAUCGCGUGGGCCUCAAUAUGGCUUGGGGGGCAGGGGGCACACGGUUUCACACGAUGUAAACAGUCAGUGUAGAAUGGAUUUUUUGUUUUUCGCAAGACGCUAUCAAAACAACUAUCAUCAACGGAUCACUUCGCUCCCGCAGCGACGAAGAACA
RNAcentral lists this unclassified non-coding RNA (279 nucleotides) under plant metagenome. RNAcentral's name for it is "partial contains small subunit ribosomal RNA, internal transcribed spacer 1, and 5.8S ribosomal RNA". The record is from RNAcentral.